UGGGGAAUCUUCCACAAUGGGCGCAAGCCUGAUGGAGCAACACCGCGUGAGUGAAGAAGGGUUUCGGCUCGUAAAGCUCUGUUGUUAAAGAAGAACACGUAUGAGAGUAACUGUUCAUACGUUGACGGUAUUUAACCAGAAAGUCACGGCUAACUACGUGCCUG
RNAcentral lists this ribosomal RNA (164 nucleotides) under uncultured bacterium. RNAcentral describes it as "partial 16S rRNA". It matches the Rfam family "Bacterial small subunit ribosomal RNA", at positions 355 to 511 of the family's 1533-position model. The record is from RNAcentral.